RNAcentral lists this long non-coding RNA (979 nucleotides) under Heterocephalus glaber (naked mole-rat). Its description in RNAcentral is "lncRNA (ENSHGLG00100044856.1)". Lineage: Eukaryota; Metazoa; Chordata; Mammalia; Rodentia; Bathyergidae. The record is from RNAcentral.
UGUGUCUGGUUACGGGUUCCCUAGAAGGAGACGUCUUUGUGUGGAACCCAGCCCUGGACUGUUUACCUCACAAACGGUGCUACCACAGCCUUGGGUGCUCCUGCAGGCAAAGCGCAGAGCAUCCUGGGAAAUGUAGUUCCCAUCCGCCUUAUAACUCAGGGGGCCCUUUGUCUCUUCCAGUGGGAGCCUGUGUUGCCUGCUGUGGCCUUGACUGCCUGGGCUCAACCAGUCCUGCCUCAGCCUGCAGAGUAGCCCGGACCUCGGGCGCACUUCACCAAACCCACAGGCCCUGCUUUGGGCGCAGAGCCGGCACCUGGCCUGCCAGGACGUGGCUCUGGCUCUCGAGCCAUCUGGAGGGCAGCGCAGUUCCUAGGGUUGCACGGCACCGAGUCCUACAGCUCCACCUCAGUGUUUCGUGUCCUUGGCCUUGCACACUGCCCACAGCCUGUCUCAGCUUACCUGAGAGGUCAGCAUGCCUCAGCUGCCUGGAAACUGGAGCUGCUACAGACUGAGUCAGCUUCAGCUUCCAGGCGGGAAGUAUUUCCUGCUAGACAGAAAGACAACGCAGCUGUCUCACUGUGCAGCACCUGAGCCUAACUUGACACUGCACUCAUCAGCUACCCAUCUUACUGAAACAUGGGAGGAGGAUAAAAAGUCAACUUGUUAACUGGACUGAAUGCUGGAUGACUUGCAACUAUGAUUUCUCUGUUCUUCGGCUGAGUCCCAUGUUGAAUGGAAUUUUCCCUCUAGCUAUAAACUUUUUAGCACUACUCUCCCAUCCACCUCUUAAUGCCAGCGCUACACCCACAAACAAAGAAUAAGGAGAAAUGAGGUUUCUGCUUCAUUCAGCCUAGAACUCAGCAGAAUAACUACAACACACUUUUACAAAGACAGAAUAUACACACUGAAAAUGUCCCAUGUGAGACUUGGUCCAAGUAUAUAAAGCUAUCUACAGCAUAUGGUUAUACUUAAUUAAAGG